AGCAUGUGGUUUAAUUCGACGCAACGCGAAGAACCUUACCUGGGCUCGAACGGUUGACGACGCCCGCUAGAAAUAGUGGGGUUUCCUUCGGGAACGGCAAUCGAGGUGCUGCAUGGCUGUCGUCAGCUCGUGUCGUGAGAUGUUGGGUUAAGUCCCGCAACGAGCGCAACCCUUGUCCUGUGUUGCUAAUCUUUCGGAUGCACUCUCAGGAGACCGCCAGCGACAAGCUGGAGGAAGGUGGGGAUGACGUCAAGUCAGCAUGGCCUUUAUGUCCAGGGCUACACACGUGCUACAAUGGGCAGGACAACGCGUCGCGAACCCGCGAGGGGGAGCUAAUCGUAUAAACCUGUUCUCAGUUCGGAUUGCAGGCUGCAACUCGCCUGCAUGAAGCUGGAAUCGCUAGUAAUGGCAGAUCAGCAUGCUGCCGUGAAUACGUUCCCGGGCCUU
This 447-nucleotide ribosomal RNA is filed under the name uncultured Acidobacteriaceae bacterium. RNAcentral describes it as "bacterial SSU rRNA". It matches the Rfam family "Bacterial small subunit ribosomal RNA", at positions 936 to 1382 of the family's 1533-position model. Lineage: Bacteria; Pseudomonadati; Acidobacteriota; Terriglobia; Terriglobales; Acidobacteriaceae. The record is from RNAcentral.